CUUGCCAAAACUAACCUUGCCUGUGCUUGUGCCACGUAAAAAGCACUAAGUCCAUUCGGCUGAGUGGUUGGUGUUAGGAAGGGCAUCCAGCUGUAAAAAUCCUGCCAAAACAGUUACAGGAGUCUGGUGCAAGCUUCUUCCUGGCUGGUUCUUGUUAGACCAUCACACUCAUGCCAGCAUGGAAGGAAAACGUUAAACAAUGAUGAUGAUGAUGAUGAUGAUA
Molecule: long non-coding RNA, 223 nt
Organism: Octopus sinensis (East Asian common octopus)
Lineage: Eukaryota; Metazoa; Mollusca; Cephalopoda; Octopoda; Octopodidae
Exons: 3
Source: RefSeq, a predicted model, not a curated record